UUACAUCGGAAACGGCCUCCUGGUGGUCUUUGGGACCUCACAAUCUGGGCACAACAGUAGUAAUACUGUUCUCAGCAUUUCUCUAUUAAAGAGAAUAGUGAAGAUUCUGAAUCAAAGUACAGUAUACAAAUUCCUCCUCUCUCUUCCACAGAAAGAAGCCAUAAAAUGUGAAUAGAAGCUAUUUAUGAUAACUAAAAACAAGCAAAAAGUAACCAACCCUCAAGCAAGGCUUUAUACUUUAUAUAAAAAAAUUAACUCAAAUUGUAUUGUCUAAAUGUGAAAUGUGCAAUUGUACAACAUGUGAAGUAAACAUAGGAGAAAAAUACCUAUGACCUACCAAGGAAAUCUCUAAAAUUGUGAACCAGCCUCAGGAUUCAAUAUGGCACCACAUGGAACUAACAGUACAAUGAAUAAUACAUUGUGAUGUGCAAUGGAAUGCUAUACAGCAAUGAGAAUGAAUGAACUAUGUGUACAAAAUAUGCACUAAAUAUACAUUACAAAAUACAGAAGAACAUGAGGAAUAAAAUGCGCUCAAUUCAUUUCUACGACUGUUUACCUUAUGCCUGCCAUGUGCUGCUGUGCCUAAUCAAGUUGGCUGGGCCCACAGAGGUGAAGAAUUCAGAGUCAGACCUGCAGCGAUUUCUACCUGGCUGGCAGCGCCCUCCGGAUGUGAUGAUCCUUACAAGGAAUAAACCCACUUGCUCUGAAUGCACAACCAUUGUCUGGUUAUGAUCCUCCUAACAGUGUUCAUACAUCAAAGCAGCACUCAUUUCAAAGCCUUUUUGAAUUAAAUUAAAUAUUUGAAGCACUAGAAAAAAAUCUUCCUAAAAAUAACCUAUGCUUACUGAAUUCCUUUCAUCUAAUGCCAUGUUCUGACAAAAAAAGUAAUUGGGGUUUUUCUUGCAUGACUUUGCUCUCUCGUAUUCUUGCCAUCUGAUUGGUUAUGGCGUGGCCAGACCACUGCUUCUCAUCUCUCAUUUGGCAUGUUAUUAGUCUAAACAGAAUUCUAUGCAGGCAAACAUUAAUACUGAUACAGAAAAUGAG
Long non-coding RNA from Heterocephalus glaber (naked mole-rat), 1044 nucleotides. RefSeq lists it as uncharacterized. The record is from RefSeq and is a predicted model, not a curated record. NCBI's taxonomy places the organism in Eukaryota, Metazoa, Chordata, Mammalia, Rodentia, Bathyergidae.